CCGGGAUAGCUCAGUGUAG
This 19-nucleotide transfer RNA is filed under the name Blasia pusilla. RNAcentral describes it as "partial tRNA-Phe". Lineage: Eukaryota; Viridiplantae; Streptophyta; Marchantiopsida; Blasiales; Blasiaceae. The record is from RNAcentral.